This is a long non-coding RNA of Poeciliopsis prolifica (blackstripe livebearer), 318 nucleotides long. RefSeq lists it as uncharacterized. The record is from RefSeq and is a predicted model, not a curated record. Lineage: Eukaryota; Metazoa; Chordata; Actinopteri; Cyprinodontiformes; Poeciliidae. The transcript is spliced from 3 exons.
CACGGUGCUGACAAGAAAAGUCCAGAUUAAACUGCAGCUUCCUGCGUCUGGCUGUUUAUCCCAAGAGGCCGCUGUUUGAACCUCUACACAUUUUAUCAGAAAUAUUUCUACAGGUGAAGCUAGAAAGUGUGUGUGAGCUGAUGUGGAUUCAGCAGCAUGGAUCAGUGUGAGGACAGAGAGGAGGGAGUCCCUCCCUCUAAAACCACUCUGUGUGGGGAAGAUGAGAGCCAGAGCAAAGGUCAGAGGAUCCAUCAGAGACUCAAACCAGAACCAGAACCAGAACCCAGCUGUGUGUCCUUUAAGAGUGACAGGUCAAAG